GUGAAACCGGUGAGGUGGAAACGGAUAGAGUCGGCGUAUCUUGCAAGUAUUCAUUUACAUUUUUGUCGUAUUGUAAUCUCUGAGCUCCAGAUUGGGACAGUUUUUACUUUAUUAUAAAAUUGAGAUGCAUUUGCUUGUUUGGUGCGUAGGGAUGUUUGAGAUAGAUUUGUGACCGCYGUUUUGAGGCCAGCUUGCUGGUACCCAAACGGUGUUAGCAUUUUUUAUCUUGGAUAUUUGAGUAUGGCUUACGGGCGUUWWUUGGUUCGAUCUGAGUGUAAGUUACGGUCGCAUGCGACACGUGCUUUUCAAUUAGUUCGGUCCAGUUAAUGCUCUCAUACUCUUUCCCUAUGUAAAAGCCGGUCAUCUAUCCGACCCGUCUUGAAACACGGACCAAGGAGUUUAUCGUGUGCGCAAGUUUUUGGGUGUUUAAAACCUAAAAGCGCAAUGAAAGUAAAUGUUCUCUUUCGAGACUGAUGUGCGAUAUUUUUUUUUCGAAAAAAUUGCAGCAUGGCCCCAUUCUAUCUGUUUACAGAAGGGUGGCGGAAGAGCGUACGCGGUGAGACCCGAAAGAUGGUGAACUAUUCCUGAGCAGGAUGAAGCCAGAGGAAACUCUGGUGGAAGUCCGAAGCGGUUCUGACGUGCAAAUCGAUCGUCUGACUUGGGUAUAGGGGCGAAAGACUAAUCGAACCAUC
RNAcentral lists this ribosomal RNA (692 nucleotides) under Meloidogyne marylandi. RNAcentral's name for it is "eukaryotic LSU rRNA". It matches the Rfam family "Eukaryotic large subunit ribosomal RNA", at positions 399 to 944 of the family's 3401-position model. The record is from RNAcentral. Lineage: Eukaryota; Metazoa; Nematoda; Chromadorea; Rhabditida; Meloidogynidae.